AGGAAUCUGCCUGGUAGUGGGGGACAACGUUUCGAAAGGAACGCUAAUACCGCAUACGUCCUACGGGAGAAAGCAGGGGACCUUCGGGCCUUGCGCUAUCAGAUGAGCCUAGGUCGGAUUAGCUAGUUGGUGGGGUAAUGGCUCACCAAGGCGACGAUCCGUAACUGGUCUGAGAGGAUGAUCAGUCACACUGGAACUGAGACACGGUCCAGACUCCUACGGGAGGCAGCAGUGGGGAAUAUUGGACAAUGGGCGAAAGCCUGAUCCAGCCAUGCCGCGUGUGUGAAGAAGGUCUUCGGAUUGUAAAGCACUUUAAGUUGGGAGGAAGGGCAGUAAGCUAAUACCUUGCUGUUUUGACGUUACCGACAGAAUAAGCACCGGCUAACUCUGUGCCAGCAGCCGCGGUAAUACAGAGGGUGCAAGCGUUAAUCGGAAUUACUGGGCGUAAAGCGCGCGUAGGUGGUUCGUUAAGUUGGAUGUGAAAGCCCCGGGCUCAACCUGGGAACUGCAUCCAAAACUGGCGAGCUAGAGUACGGUAGAGGGUGGUGGAAUUUCCUGUGUAGCGGUGAAAUGCGUAGAUAUAGGAAGGAACACCAGUGGCGAA
Molecule: ribosomal RNA, 604 nt
Filed under: uncultured Pseudomonas sp.
Lineage: Bacteria; Pseudomonadati; Pseudomonadota; Gammaproteobacteria; Pseudomonadales; Pseudomonadaceae
Description: bacterial SSU rRNA
Rfam family: Bacterial small subunit ribosomal RNA
Source: RNAcentral